UGGAGGGAGAGUCGAGCAAGUUGACGAUGCCGAUGAGCCCCGGAACACCAGGUACCCCAGGCACCCCAGGCACACCGGCUUCCGCUCGUGCUAAAGACAACGUUUGGAGGAGUGUGUUCCACCCAGGUAGCAACCUUGCCACCAAAUCCAUGGGCAACCAGGUUUUCGACAAGCCACAGCCCAACUCUCCCACUGUCUACGACUGGUAUGUAUACGUAGCCUAACCCUAAUAACGCACGCAUAGAACUAGUUACAAAUUUUUAAUCGAAAAAAAAGAAAAAGAACCGAUAGAUACAAAUAUGGAUACUAUAAAAAAAGAACCGAUAGAUACAAAUAUGGAUACUAUAAGUACUGUGAUUAUAUACGUAAAGUUUGUGACCAGUUCUAUUUGUGCGUAUUUCGAAUAUUAACGUAAAUAGAUCUAAGCCGUAGAUCGAGGAUCUGUUUGUUGGGUUUAGAUCUAUAUGGUUUGUUGUUGCGAUCAUGGGUUAACCUUUUAUGUGUGAUGUGAUCUCACAGGCUCUACAGUGGCGAGACCAGGAGCAUCCAUCAUCGUUAAGGUGACGAAGAAACAACUGAGCUGACCAGCAGC
RNAcentral lists this long non-coding RNA (592 nucleotides) under Malus domestica (apple). Its description in RNAcentral is "long non-coding RNA (MDOM_LNC005358)". The record is from RNAcentral. Lineage: Eukaryota; Viridiplantae; Streptophyta; Magnoliopsida; Rosales; Rosaceae.